This 283-nucleotide unclassified non-coding RNA is filed under the name uncultured fungus. RNAcentral's name for it is "partial contains small subunit ribosomal RNA, internal transcribed spacer 1, and 5.8S ribosomal RNA". The stretch from base 1 to 73 matches the Rfam family "Eukaryotic small subunit ribosomal RNA", at positions 1759 to 1831 of the family's 1831-position model. The record is from RNAcentral. Lineage: Eukaryota; Fungi.
GCAAACUUGGUCAUUUAGAGGAAGUAAAAGUCGUAACAAGGUUUCCGUAGGUGAACCUGCGGAAGGAUCAUUACCAAUUAUCCUCAAAUUAUGGAUAAUUUAAUCCAUAUCCACCUUGUGUGCAUCAUAGAACUGUUUGUUGGCAGAGUUGUCUUGCUCGGCCUGCCAAUUUUCUUUGUUUAAACUUGUCUAAAUACUACUCGUCUGAAACACAUAUAUUUAUAUAAUAAAUACAACUUUCAACAACGGAUCUCUUGGCUCUCGCAUCGAUGAAGAACGCAGC